Molecule: ribosomal RNA, 424 nt
Filed under: uncultured Glomeromycotina
Lineage: Eukaryota; Fungi; Glomeromycota
Description: SSU rRNA
Rfam family: Eukaryotic small subunit ribosomal RNA
Source: RNAcentral
UUGGUAUGCACUGGCUUUACUGAUUCCUCCUUCUUGACGAACCAUGAUGUCAUUAAUUUGGUGUUGCGGGAAAUCAGGACUGUUACUUUGAAAAAAUUAGAGUGUUUAAAGCAGGCUCACGCUUGAAUACAUUAGCAUGGAAUAAUGAAAUAGGACGUUUGAUUCUAUUUUGUUGGUUUCUAGGAUCGACGUAAUGAUUAAUAGGGAUAGUUGGGGGCAUUAGUAUUCAAUUGUCAGAGGUGAAAUUCUUGGAUUUAUUGAAGACUAACUACUGCGAAAGCAUUUGCCAAGGAUGUUUUCAUUAAUCAAGAACGAGAGUUAGGGGAUCGAAGACGAUCAGAUACCGUCGUAGUCUUAACCAUAAACUAUGCCGACUAGGGAUCGGAUGAUGUUAAUUUUUUAAUGACUCAUUCGGCGCCUUACG